RNAcentral lists this ribosomal RNA (301 nucleotides) under uncultured bacterium. RNAcentral's name for it is "partial 16S ribosomal RNA". It matches the Rfam family "Archaeal small subunit ribosomal RNA", at positions 459 to 759 of the family's 1478-position model. The record is from RNAcentral.
CAGUAGCCGCGGUAAUACCAGCAGCCCAAGUGGUGGUCGCGAUUAUUGGGCCUAAAGCGCUCGUAGCCGGGCCGGUAAGUCCCUUGUGGAAUCGGACGGCCUAACCGUUCGGCGUGCAAGGGAUACUGUCGGUCUUGAGGCCGGGAGACGUCCGAGGUACUCCGGGGGUAGCGGUGAAAUGUUCUGAUCCUCGGGGGACCACCGGUGGCGAAGGCGUUCGACGAGAACGGGCCUGACGGUGAGGGGCGAAGGCUAGGGGAGCAAACGGGAUUAGAGACCCGUGUAGUCCCUGUCUCUUAUA